UACGGGGGGGGCAAGCGUUGUUCGGAAUUACUGGGCGUAAAGGGCUUGUAGGUGGCCAACUAAGUCAGACGUGAAAUCCCUCGGCUUAACCGGGGAACUGCGUCUGAUACUGGAUGGCUUGAGUUUGGGAGAGGGAUGCGGAAUUCCAGGUGUAGCGGUGAAAUGCGUAGAUAUCUGGAGGAACACCGGUGGCGAAGGCGGCAUCCUGGACCAACACUGACACUGAAAAGCGAAAGCCAGGGGAGCAAACGGG
Molecule: ribosomal RNA, 253 nt
Filed under: uncultured bacterium
Lineage: Bacteria
Description: partial 16S ribosomal RNA
Rfam family: Bacterial small subunit ribosomal RNA
Source: RNAcentral